This 783-nucleotide long non-coding RNA is filed under the name Mytilus galloprovincialis (Mediterranean mussel). Lineage: Eukaryota; Metazoa; Mollusca; Bivalvia; Mytilida; Mytilidae. The record is from RNAcentral.
AUAUUUGCUUUAUAACUAUUAUUAUCAGAUAAUUGCAAACGUAGACUUUUACAACAUUUACAAUAGCAUUUAAAACAAACAUACAUGUAUUCGCAUUCAUUUAUUGUUUUUAAGUAUUCUUCAAACCUUAAUAAUUAAAGCAAAUUGACCCACACAUUGAUAAUAAAGCACAAAGAAAGUGAGAUUAAAUAAUGUGGUGGAAGAAGUCAUAUUUUUCUAUGAUUGUUUUAGACAAGUAGUAAUGUGCAGUUUAUUUCUGGUUCAUAAAAAUCAAUAACAAAAAUCUAAAAGAAUUCAAUGUUGCCGAAAUAUCUAUUAAAAAACAAUAAGAUAUAAAAAUAAUAUGAGGAAUGCAUAUUGUUUGGCUAUCGAUCACUUUUUUGGUUAAAUUUGAAAGUAAUUUCAUAAAACAUAUAUCAAUUCAGAUACAUGUACUUACAAACUUUGUGUUGCUCAAAUUGAUUCAUGAAUAAAAAUAACUACAUUUUUAUGAUAUAUCAGUAGUUUAUAUAAGUUUUUGUUUUCUGAAAUUUUGUAAGGCGAGCUAUGAACAAGUAAAGUAGACUUUUUUUUUCGAUAAUGUAUGUCACAAAAAUUAUGAUACAUCCAUGGUAUUUGUUUAUAGUUUUAAAACUGCAUAAAGAACAAAACACCUUGUUUUAUCUUUUUUUUUCUAUCAAAGGAAACUAAAACAAAAUAGAUUUUCAAUGAAAUUGAAAUUGAUACUGAAAGAUUGUAAAACAAAUAUAUAUUCCUAUUGAAAUCAAAAUUGAAAUAUUUUUU